AUGGCUCAGGAUGAACGCUGGCGGCGUGCCUAACACAUGCAAGUCGAACGAAGCAUAACUGACGGAGAUUCGUCAAAGCCGGUUAUGACUUAGUGGCGGACGGGUGAGUAAUGUAUGAGCAACCUGCCUUUCAGAGGGGGACAACAGUUGGAAACGACUGCUAAUACCGCAUAAUGUACGGAGGGGACAUCCCCACUGUACCAAAGGAGCAAUCCGCUGAAAGAUGGGCUCAUAUCUGAUUAGCUAGUUGGCGGGGUAACGGCCCACCAAGGCGACGAUCAGUAGCCGGACUGAGAGGUUGAACGGCCACAUUGGGACUGAGAUACGGCCCAGACUCCUACGGGAGGCAGCAGUGGGGAAUAUUGGGCAAUGGGCGAAAGCCUGACCCAAGCAACGCCGCGUGAAGGAAGAAGGUCUUCGGAUUGUAAACUUCUUUUAUGAGGGACGAAGGACGUGACGGUACCUCAUGAAUAAGCCACGGCUAACUACGUGCCAGCAGCAGC
Molecule: ribosomal RNA, 503 nt
Filed under: uncultured bacterium
Lineage: Bacteria
Description: bacterial SSU rRNA
Rfam family: Bacterial small subunit ribosomal RNA
Source: RNAcentral